This 327-nucleotide ribosomal RNA is filed under the name uncultured Bacillota bacterium. Its description in RNAcentral is "bacterial SSU rRNA". It matches the Rfam family "Bacterial small subunit ribosomal RNA", at positions 28 to 351 of the family's 1533-position model. Lineage: Bacteria; Bacillati; Bacillota. The record is from RNAcentral.
GACGAACGCUGGCGGCGUGCCUAACACAUGCAAGUCGAACGAGAAAGCAGAGCUUGCUCUGCUUUCUAGUGGCGGACGGGUGAGUAAUGCGUGAGCAACCUGCCUAUCAGUGGGGGAUAACUUCCGGAAACGGAUGCUAAUACCGCAUAUUGUACAUAAUCCGCAUGGAUAAGUGUAUUAAAGGAGCAAUUCGCUGAUAGAUGGGCUCACGUCCGAUUAGUUAGUUGGUGGGGUAAUGGCCUACCAAGACCGCGAUCGGUAGCCGGGCUGAGAGGCUGAACGGCCACAUUGGGACUGAGACACGGCCCAGACUCCUACGGGUGGCAG